AUAAACAAUUUAAAAUGGUUUCCAAAGUUGCAUAAUGCUAACCACAAUGGCUGGUUUCAACUAUCUGUGCAGUGGCUAUCAACAAUUUGGAUCAAACAUGAGAGCAAGUCAGUGCACAUGCAAGCUCGUGGAGAAGGAAACCACACUUGAUUACAAGGCCAGUGUGCACAAUCACAGAGGCUUAGUGGAAUAAAAACAGCUGCAAGAGUGUGAGAAAGCAAGAACAAAGAUGUGAUGACAGGGAGGCAGAAACAGCAGAGCAAUGAAGAGAUCUUCUGGCUUCACUGGGUCUUACUCAUAAGAGUGUGUGUGUGUCUGUCUGUCUGUGUGUUAGUCAAAGGAAUGUCUCAUCUGUACUAGCAUGUGUGCGUGUCUAUGUAAUUACGCAAAGGAUUGUAUAUAAAAAGUUGAUCCUACAGAAUCUUCAUACAUACUCACUGAGCACUUUAUCAGGAACACCUGUACAUCUGCUUAUUCAUGCACUUAUCCAAUCAGCCAAUCAUUUGGCAGUAGUGCAAUACAUAAACCAUGCAGAUCAGGAGCUUCAGUUAAUAAAGCCAUCAUGAAGUAAGACAGGGCUGGGUGCUACUGUUAGUUAUAAGUGUUUGAGUGUUUACAGACACAGGUUGCUCAGUUCACAGAGCUGUGUAAUUGUUCUGUGAGCAUGUUACAGUUCACUUGCCUGUUUAAAACUAGUCAGUAAUGUUAGCCACUAUGAUGCUGAAACUCUGUGACAUAAUUUGAUUAUCUUUUGAUUCUUAAACAUCUCUGAUCACUGUUACAUGCAGUUAUUCUCCAGCCCUAUGUUUUUGUAGUGCCCAAGAUAUUAUGUACCCUGCAAGCUGUAUUACUGCCAUCAUACCUGAUGUCUGGAACAAACCUACCAACUUGAAAUAUGACUGUGUUCCUUUCAUCGUUGGGGGUCUCAAUAAUUCUCAAUCAUAGGAUCAUAGGUCUUCUGAGAUUUGUAUUUUUUUUGUAAGGCAUGGUUCACAGCAGCAGAUGAAUCUAGCUAACUCAAGAUGUGUUCAUUCAUUAGUCAAAGUAGCUCUAACCCUCUUCUUUAGACUCGUGAGGGGUUCACAUACAUCCAAUCCACACUGUGAAUGUUUUAGUGAUGUAUACAGUAUGUACAAGAUAAAUACAAUAAUGUGUGUGUUAGUAGUUAAAACGGUUGCUUUGUUCAUUACUGUAACUUAGAUCUUGUUUUAUAACCAAUUAAUGCACAACACCAGGUCAUUCUAAAGGGUUCACAUAUUUUUUUCUUGCCACUGUACAUGUGACUGUGUUCUCAGACAUGCAGUUACAGUGCAGUCACCUGAUAGGAUUGCUCUGUACAUUUUCCCACCACAAAAAUGGGGUGUCUGCUAACCUCUUCUCUCUAAGAACAUCAUGGAAAAUACCAUAGAGCAGCAAGGAAAAGAGAAAAUAAUCUGAUUUUAAAAUAUAGCAAGGCUGACCUUAAAAGUGUAAAGUUCAAGGAAAGGUAGGAGUAAUGACACGAAGCAAUAAAAUUGAAAGGAGUAUUAUAUCAAGGAUGAGCCUUGGUCAUACUGGUCUAAGCAGUAACGUAACAUAAAAAAAGACAUGAAACACAAGCUAUCAGUGAAAUGUUACAGAGGACUUCAUGUGAUAUAGGGUACAUGGAUAUUUUCAGAUUUUAAGAAAACAGGGAAUGUUUGUAAAAUUUAUUUCACUAGUACAAUAACUCUUGUAAUACACACUCCAAUCCAGAAGGUGGCAAAAGUAGAAUGCAAUUUCACUGAAGGGAGAGGAAAGGAAGGAGGAGGCGGAAGACAAAGAAGAAUGCUCGAGAAGAAUGCUCGAUCUACACGUGGCUGACUCUCCCUUACUUGAGUCCAUCGCGUCCAUCCAAAGAUUUUUUGCCAGUGACAGACCCAUGCACCAUAUAUCAAGCCUACAAGUGACAUUUUUUUUUGGGGGGGGGGGGGGGGGGGUCUGCUGUAGUUUGGUGAGGUUUCCUUCUUUCGGUGAGGCGACCUCUGAAGCCACGUGGUACUCGUUUUCACAUGGCUCAGUUCUUAUGGCUCCUUCUCUCAGCUGCCGGUCUCAUCACCUGCGAUUGCAGUUCUCAAGGGUUACAGCUGUGGUUCUCUUCUUACUGGGGUACAUUGCCAUCGUAUACUGAAACUAAACUUGUAUGAAACUCAGAGCCUCAGUAACAGUGUGAACCAAAAGAGCUGAAGGUGAGGCCUGGAGAAAGCGUGACACUGACAUGUUUGAAUCCCAAACACACUAAACCGCCAGCGUUCAUGUGGAGCAGGCCUGACAUGCAGUCACAUGGUUAUGUCUUCUUUUACCGACAAAGCUACUCAGUUGAUUCCUUCCAGCAUCCAUCUUACUGUGGUCGCGUUGAGUUGAGAGAUCCAGAGAUGAAGCUUGGGGACGUUUCGGUGACCCUGAAGAACGUCACAUUCAAUGAUACUGGAACAUAUCAAUGUAAAAUUAUUGUCAGCUCAAGACGUAAAAAGAGAGACACACCUGAAGUCAUCAGUGUCGUCAACCUGAAGGUUGAAGACCCAGGUCCAGAUGCAGGAAACACCAGGGGAGGAGGAGACAAGCAGGGAGAAGAAGAUGGAGUCAGCAGAGGACAUGUAGCACUGAUAGCUUGUUUGAUUCCGAUUACUGCUAUUGUUGUUUUGAUGGUCUUCUAUAGAAGACACAUGGAGAAGAAUGAAUCCCAACCUAUUCCUAGUGAAAAUCUGUGAGAUAUCUGUAGAACAAACUCCUCUUCACUAUCAGAACAGCUGAGUCAGUGCCUCGCUUUAAAAAGCUCCACCUCUAAAGACUAGCAUUAUUGUGUAUUUUGCUGAUGCUUGAUCAGUAAUAUACACAGACAGUUUGACUUGAAUUGGGGCCAAAAAACUCAGGGAACAAACUGCUAUAAUCUUUGCUACAGGUACUUUACUGUACACACAGAGAGCCAGGCUCAAAUCAAAGUGAGCCUGGCUCUCUGUGUGUGGUCUCUCAGACAUGCAUCUGUGAGCUGUGUUGUUGUCUACAUGGUUCAGACUCUGUCUCUCGGUCUGCAGUAGCACACUUCUUGUUGGCAUUCACCUCCACAGACCGUCAGAUUUGCUGAACUGACUACAUUAACCUCUGCUGUAGCCAUCAGACAUGAACUUUCUUUCAUUUGUAACACUGAUCAGUAUUUAUCAGUUUUGUGCUGAAAUUUUAUACUUAAAUGUGGGAGUUAAAGGAUUUUUUUUUUUUUUUUUUUUUUUUUGGUUUCAAGGAACACGCAUAUGCACAUUAUUUUUUAUUUUAUUUUGUCAUCAUUUCAAUUAUAUUCCCGUGAAAGAAAGCUGUUGUUUAAAUGGUGGUAACCAUUCACUUUAUGUAAGCACUUCUAAGUUGUUACUGCCUCUGUUUUAAUUACAAGCUCUCAUGACUGAUGUUUGUUUGUUGGCCGUUAUAAACUAUUUUCAAAUAAUACUAACAAUAUUAAAUGCUUUAAACAAA
Lates calcarifer (barramundi perch) is the source of this 3483-nucleotide RNA transcript. It is a transcript of the gene named myelin-oligodendrocyte glycoprotein, with no coding region annotated. The transcript is spliced from 4 exons. The record is from RefSeq and is a predicted model, not a curated record. Lineage: Eukaryota; Metazoa; Chordata; Actinopteri; Centropomidae.